ACCAACAGGGAUUGCCUUAGUAACGGCGAGUGAAGCGGCAACAGCUCAAAUUUGAAAGCUGGCUCCUUCGGAGUCCGCGUUGUAAUUUGUAGAGGAUGAUUCGGCGAGGGCUCCCGCCUAAGUCCCCUGGAACGGGGCGUCAUAGAGGGUGAGAAUCCCGUAUGCGGUGGGUUGCCUUAGCCAUGUGAAUCUCCUUCGACGAGUCGAGUUGUUUGGGAAUGCAGCUCUAAAUGGGAGGUAAAUUUCUUCUAAAGCUAAAUACCGGCCAGAGACCGAUAGCGCACAAGUAGAGUGAUCGAAAGAUGAAAAGCACUUUGGAAAGAGAGUUAAAAAGUACGUGAAAUUGUUGAAAGGGAAGCGCUUGCAGCCAGACUUGUCCGCAGUUGCUCAACCGGUCUCCUGACCGGUGUACUCUUCUGCGGCCAGGCCAGCAUCAGUUCGGGCGGUCGGAUAAAGGCCCUGGGAAUGUAGCUCCUCUCGGGGAGUGUUAUAGCCCAGGGUGGAAUGCGGCCAGCCUGGACUGAGGAUCUCGCUUCGGCUAGGAUGCUGGCGUAAUGGCUGU
Molecule: ribosomal RNA, 562 nt
Filed under: Macrophomina phaseolina
Lineage: Eukaryota; Fungi; Ascomycota; Dothideomycetes; Botryosphaeriales; Botryosphaeriaceae
Description: eukaryotic LSU rRNA
Rfam family: Eukaryotic large subunit ribosomal RNA
Source: RNAcentral